GAUGAACGCUGGCGGCGUGCCUAAUACAUGCAAGUCGAGCGAACGGACGAGAAGCUUGCUUUUCUGAUGUUAGCGGCGGACGGGUGAGUAACACGUGGAUAACCUACCUAUAAGACUGGGAUAACUUCGGGAAACCGGAGCUAAUACCGGAUAAUAUUUUGAACCGCAUGGUUCAAAAGUGAAAGACGGUCUUGCUGUCACUUAUAGAUGGAUCCGCGCUGCAUUAGCUAGUUGGUAAGGUAACGGCUUACCAAGGCAACGAUGCAUAGCCGACCUGAGAGGGUGAUCGGCCACACUGGAACUGAGACACGGUCCAGACUCCUACGGGAGGCAGCAGUAGGGAAUCUUCCGCAAUGGGCGAAAGCCUGACGGAGCAACGCCGCGUGAGUGAUGAAGGUCUUCGGAUCGUAUAACUCUGUUAUUAGGGAAGAACAUAUGUGUAAGUAACUGUGCACAUCUUGACGGUACCUAAUCAGAAAGCCACGGCUAACUACGUG
Molecule: ribosomal RNA, 497 nt
Filed under: uncultured bacterium
Lineage: Bacteria
Description: partial 16S ribosomal RNA
Rfam family: Bacterial small subunit ribosomal RNA
Source: RNAcentral